CGGGAUGAGCUCAAAUUUAAAAUCUGGCAGUCUUUUUGGCUGUCCGAGUUGUAAUUUAGAGAAGUGUUGCCCGCGCUGGACCAUAUACAAGUCCUCUGGAAUGGGGUGUCAUAGAGGGUGAGAAUCCCGUCUUUGACACGGACUGCCAGGGCAUAGUGGUGCGCUCUCGAA
This 171-nucleotide ribosomal RNA is filed under the name Tricholomataceae sp. RNAcentral's name for it is "partial large subunit ribosomal RNA". It matches the Rfam family "Eukaryotic large subunit ribosomal RNA", at positions 99 to 261 of the family's 3401-position model. The record is from RNAcentral. Lineage: Eukaryota; Fungi; Basidiomycota; Agaricomycetes; Agaricales; Tricholomataceae.